CCUACGGGAGGCAGCAGUGGGGAAUAUUGCACAAUGGGGGAAACCCUGAUGCAGCGACGCCGCGUGAGUGAAGAAGGAUUUCGGUAUGUAAAGCUCUAUCAGCAGGGAAGAAAAUGACGGUACGUGAUUAAGAAGCCCCGGCUAACUACGUGCCAGCAGCCGCGGGAAUACGUAGGGGGCAAGCGUUAUCCGGAUUUACUGGGUGAAAAGGGAGCGGAGACGGCUGCACAAGUAUGGAGUGAAAUGCCGGGGCUUAACCCCGGAACUGCUUUGGAAACUGUGCAGCUAGAGUGCAGGAGAGGUGAGUGGAAUUCCUUGUGUAGCGGUGAAAUGCGUAGAUAUUAGGAGGCACACCAGUGGCGAAGGCGGCUUACUGGACUGUAACUGACGUUGAGGCUCGAAAGCGUGGGGAGCAAACAGGAUUAGAUACCCGAGUAGUC
This 440-nucleotide ribosomal RNA is filed under the name uncultured bacterium. RNAcentral describes it as "partial 16S ribosomal RNA". It matches the Rfam family "Bacterial small subunit ribosomal RNA", at positions 338 to 795 of the family's 1533-position model. The record is from RNAcentral.